This 497-nucleotide ribosomal RNA is filed under the name uncultured bacterium. Its description in RNAcentral is "partial 16S ribosomal RNA". It matches the Rfam family "Bacterial small subunit ribosomal RNA", at positions 28 to 507 of the family's 1533-position model. The record is from RNAcentral.
GAUGAACGCUGGCGGCGUGCCUAAUACAUGCAAGUCGAGCGAACGGACCAGAAGCUUGCUUCUCUGAUGUUAGCGGCGGACGGGUGAGUAACACGUGGAUAACCUACCUAUAAGACUGGGAUAACUUCGGGAAACCGGAGCUAAUACCGGAUGAUAUUUUGAACCGCAUGGGUCAAAAGUGAAAGACGGUCUUGCUGUCACUUAUAGAUGGAUCCGCGCUGCAUUAGCUAGUUGGUAAGGUAACGGCUUACCAAGGCAACGAUGCAUAGCCGACCUGAGAGGGUGAUCGGCCACACUGGAACUGAGGCAGGGUCCAGACUCCUACGGGAGGCAGCAGUAGGGAAUCUUACGCAAUGGGCGAAAGCCUGACGGAGCAACGCCGCGUGAGUGAUGAAGGUCUUCGGAUCGUAAAACUCUGUUAUUAGGGAAGAACAUAUGUGUAAGUAACUGUGAACAUAUUGACGGUACCUAAUCAGAAAGCCACGGCUAACUACGUG